RNAcentral lists this ribosomal RNA (465 nucleotides) under uncultured bacterium. RNAcentral's name for it is "partial 16S ribosomal RNA". It matches the Rfam family "Bacterial small subunit ribosomal RNA", at positions 338 to 795 of the family's 1533-position model. The record is from RNAcentral.
CCUACGGGAGGCAGCAGUAGGGAAUCUUCCACAAUGGGCGAAAGCCUGCUGGAGCAACGCCGCGUGGGUGAAGAAGGUCUUCGGAUCGUAACUCCCUGUUGUUAGAGAAGAAAGUGCGUGAGAGUAACUGUUCCCGUUUCGACGGUAUCUAACCAGACAGCCACGGCUCACUACGUGCCAGCAGCCGCGGUAAUACGUAGGUGGCAAGCGUUAUCCGGAUUUAUUGGGAGUAAAGGGUUCGCAGGCGGGCUUUUAAGUCUGAUGUGAAAGCCUUCGGCUUAACCGGAGUAGUGCAUUGGAAACUGGGAGACUUGAGUGCAGAAGAGGAGAGUGGAACUCGAGGUGUAGCGGUGAAAUGCGUAGAUAUAUGGAAGAACACCAGUGGCGAAAGCGGCUCUCUGGUCUGUAACUGACGCUGAGGUUCGAAAGCGUGGGUAGCAAACAGGAUUAGAUACCCCUGUAGUC